This 371-nucleotide ribosomal RNA is filed under the name uncultured organism. RNAcentral's name for it is "bacterial SSU rRNA". It matches the Rfam family "Bacterial small subunit ribosomal RNA", at positions 526 to 896 of the family's 1533-position model. The record is from RNAcentral.
CGUAGGGUGCGAGCGUUAAUCGGAAUUGCUGGGCGUAAAGCGUGCGCAGGCGGUUUUGUAAGCCAGAUGUGAAAUCCCCGGGCUUAACCUGGGAAUGGCAUUUGGGACUGCAAGGCUGGAGUGCGGCAGAGGAGACUGGAAUUCCUGGUGUAGCAGUGAAAUGCGUAGAUAUCAGGAGGAACACCGAUGGCGAAGGCAGGUCUCUGGGCUGACACUGACGCUCAUGCACGAAAGCGUGGGGAGCAAACAGGAUUAGGUACCCUGGUAGUCCACGCCCUAAACGAUGUCGACUGGUUGUUGGGGGUUUGACACUCUCAGUAACGAAGCUAACGCGUGAAGUCGACCGCCUGGGGAGUACGGCCGCAAGGUUA